GGUUUACCUGUGUGACUGCGUACCUUUUGUAUAAUGGGUCAGCGACUUAUAUUCUGUAGCAAGGUUAACCGUAUAGGGGAGCCGGAGGGAAACCGAGUCUUAAUUGGGCGUUAAGUUGCAGGGUAUAGACCCGAAACCCGGUGAUCUAGCCAUGGGCAGGUUGAAGGUUGGGUAACACUAACUGGAGGACCGAACCGACUAAUGUUGAAAAAUUAGCGGAUGACCUGUGGCUGGGGGUGAAAGGCCAAUCAAACCGGGAGAUAGCUGGUUCUCCCCGAAAGCUAUUUAGGUAGCGCCUCGUGAAUUCAUCUCCGGGGGUAGAGCACUGUUUCGGCUAGGGGGCCAUCCCGGCUUACCAACCCGAUGCAAACUGCGAAUACCGGAGAAUGUUAUCACGGGAGACACACGGCGGGUGCUAACGUCCGUCGUGAAGAGGGAAACAACCCAGACCGCCAGCUAAGGUCCCAAAGUCAUGGUUAAGUGGGAAACGAUGUGGGAAGGCCCAGACAGCCAGG
This 515-nucleotide ribosomal RNA is filed under the name Salmonella enterica subsp. enterica serovar Stanley. RNAcentral's name for it is "partial 23S ribosomal RNA". It matches the Rfam family "Bacterial large subunit ribosomal RNA", at positions 582 to 1097 of the family's 2925-position model. The record is from RNAcentral. Lineage: Bacteria; Pseudomonadati; Pseudomonadota; Gammaproteobacteria; Enterobacterales; Enterobacteriaceae.